RNAcentral lists this ribosomal RNA (2985 nucleotides) under Salmonella enterica subsp. enterica serovar Typhimurium. RNAcentral describes it as "partial 23S ribosomal RNA". It matches the Rfam family "Bacterial large subunit ribosomal RNA". Lineage: Bacteria; Pseudomonadati; Pseudomonadota; Gammaproteobacteria; Enterobacterales; Enterobacteriaceae. The record is from RNAcentral.
CUAAGCGUACACGGUGGAUGCCCUGGCAGUCAGAGGCGAUGAAGGGCGUGCUAAUCUGCGAUAAGCGCCGGUAAGGUGAUAUGAACCGUUAUAACCGGCGAUACCCGAAUGGGGAAACCCAGUGUGAUUCGUCACACUAUCAUUAACUGAAUCCAUAGGUUAAUGAGGCGAACCGGGGGAACUGAAACAUCUAAGUACCCCGAGGAAAAGAAAUCAACCGAGAUUCCCCCAGUAGCGGCGAGCGAACGGGGAGGAGCCCAGAGCCUGAAUCAGCAUGUGUGUUAGUGGAAGCGUCUGGAAAGGCGCGCGAUACAGGGUGACAGCCCCGUACACAAAAGCGCAUGUGCUGUGAGCUCGAUGAGUAGGGCGGGACACGUGGUAUCCUGUCUGAAUAUGGGGGGACCAUCCUCCAAGGCUAAAUACUCCUGACUGACCGAUAGUGAACCAGUACCGUGAGGGAAAGGCGAAAAGAACCCCGGCGAGGGGAGUGAAAAAGAACCUGAAACCGUGUACGUACAAGCAGUGGGAGCACAGGUUUACCUGUGUGACUGCGUACCUUUUGUAUAAUGGGUCAGCGACUUAUAUUCUGUAGCAAGGUUAACCGUAUAGGGGAGCCGGAGGGAAACCGAGUCUUAAUUGGGCGUUAAGUUGCAGGGUAUAGACCCGAAACCCGGUGAUCUAGCCAUGGGCAGGUUGAAGGUUGGGUAACACUAACUGGAGGACCGAACCGACUAAUGUUGAAAAAUUAGCGGAUGACCUGUGGCUGGGGGUGAAAGGCCAAUCAAACCGGGAGAUAGCUGGUUCUCCCCGAAAGCUAUUUAGGUAGCGCCUCGUGAAUUCAUCUCCGGGGGUAGAGCACUGUUUCGGCUAGGGGGCCAUCCCGGCUUACCAACCCGAUGCAAACUGCGAAUACCGGAGAAUGUUAUCACGGGAGACACACGGCGGGUGCUAACGUCCGUCGUGAAGAGGGAAACAACCCAGACCGCCAGCUAAGGUCCCAAAGUCAUGGUUAAGUGGGAAACGAUGUGGGAAGGCCCAGACAGCCAGGAUGUUGGCUUAGAAGCAGCCAUCAUUUAAAGAAAGCGUAAUAGCUCACUGGUCGAGUCGGCCUGCGCGGAAGAUGUAACGGGGCUAAACCAUGCACCGAAGCUGCGGCAGCGAACGUAUCACCCAAGACAACUUUACGGAGUUGACGAUUGACGGAGCGAAGCGACGUCAAAGCGUUCAUUAAAGUCGAGUUGGCUUAGGGAUACGUUCGUUGGGUAGGGGAGCGUUCUGUAAGCCUGUGAAGGUGUGUCGUGAGGCAUGCUGGAGGUAUCAGAAGUGCGAAUGCUGACAUAAGUAACGAUAAAGCGGGUGAAAAGCCCGCUCGCCGGAAGACCAAGGGUUCCUGUCCAACGUUAAUCGGGGCAGGGUGAGUCGACCCCUAAGGCGAGGCCGAAAGGCGUAGUCGAUGGGAAACGGGUUAAUAUUCCCGUACUUGGUGUUACUGCGAAGGGGGGACGGAGAAGGCUAUGUUGGCCGGGCGACGGUUGUCCCGGUUUAAGCGUGUAGGUGUGUGUUCCAGGUAAAUCCGGUUCACUUUAACACUGAGGCGUGACGACGAGGCACUACGGUGCUGAAGCAACAAAUGCCCUGCUUCCAGGAAAAGCCUCUAAGCAUCAGGUAACAUCAAAUCGUACCCCAAACCGACACAGGUGGUCAGGUAGAGAAUACCAAGGCGCUUGAGAGAACUCGGGUGAAGGAACUAGGCAAAAUGGUGCCGUAACUUCGGGAGAAGGCACGCUGACACGUAGGUGAAGUGAUUUACUCAUGGAGCUGAAGUCAGUCGAAGAUACCAGCUGGCUGCAACUGUUUAUUAAAAACACAGCACUGUGCAAACACGAAAGUGGACGUAUACGGUGUGACGCCUGCCCGGUGCCGGAAGGUUAAUUGAUGGGGUCAGCGCAAGCGAAGCUCCUGAUCGAAGCCCCGGUAAACGGCGGCCGUAACUAUAACGGUCCUAAGGUAGCGAAAUUCCUUGUCGGGUAAGUUCCGACCUGCACGAAUGGCGUAAUGAUGGCCAGGCUGUCUCCACCCGAGACUCAGUGAAAUUGAACUCGCUGUGAAGAUGCAGUGUACCCGCGGCAAGACGGAAAGACCCCGUGAACCUUUACUAUAGCUUGACACUGAACAUUGAGCCUUGAUGUGUAGGAUAGGUGGGAGGCUUUGAAGUGUGGACGCCAGUCUGCAUGGAGCCGACCUUGAAAUACCACCCUUUAAUGUUUGAUGUUCUAACGUGGACCCGUAAUCCGGGUUGCGGACAGUGUCUGGUGGGUAGUUUGACUGGGGCGGUCUCCUCCUAAAGAGUAACGGAGGAGCACGAAGGUUGGCUAAUCCUGGUCGGACAUCAGGAGGUUAGUGCAAUGGCAUAAGCCAGCUUGACUGCGAGCGUGACGGCGCGAGCAGGUGCGAAAGCAGGUCAUAGUGAUCCGGUGGUUCUGAAUGGAAGGGCCAUCGCUCAACGGAUAAAAGGUACUCCGGGGAUAACAGGCUGAUACCGCCCAAGAGUUCAUAUCGACGGCGGUGUUUGGCACCUCGAUGUCGGCUCAUCACAUCCUGGGGCUGAAGUAGGUCCCAAGGGUAUGGCUGUUCGCCAUUUAAAGUGGUACGCGAGCUGGGUUUAGAACGUCGUGAGACAGUUCGGUCCCUAUCUGCCGUGGGCGCUGGAGAACUGAGGGGGGCUGCUCCUAGUACGAGAGGACCGGAGUGGACGCAUCACUGGUGUUCGGGUUGUCAUGCCAAUGGCACUGCCCGGUAGCUAAAUGCGGAAGAGAUAAGUGCUGAAAGCAUCUAAGCACGAAACUUGCCCCGAGAUGAGUUCUCCCUGAGACUUAGAGUCUCCUGAAGGAACGUUGAAGACGACGACGUUGAUAGGCCGGGUGUGUAAGCGCAGCGAUGCGUUGAGCUAACCGGUACUAAUGAACCGUGAGGCUUAACCUUACA